RNAcentral lists this transfer RNA (58 nucleotides) under Salmo salar (Atlantic salmon). It matches the Rfam family "tRNA", at positions 8 to 63 of the family's 71-position model. Rfam says of the family: Transfer RNA (tRNA) molecules are approximately 80 nucleotides in length. The record is from Rfam by way of RNAcentral. Lineage: Eukaryota; Metazoa; Chordata; Actinopteri; Salmoniformes; Salmonidae.
UGGCUCAGUUGGUAGAGCAUGGUGUUUGCAAUGCCAGGGUUGUGUGUUCAAUUCCCAC